RNAcentral lists this non-coding RNA (190 nucleotides) under Roseovarius sp. Lineage: Bacteria; Pseudomonadati; Pseudomonadota; Alphaproteobacteria; Rhodobacterales; Roseobacteraceae. The record is from RNAcentral.
GCCAGUAAUCGUCGCGUCGGUUUCCAUAGGGAAUGAAAAGGGAAUCCGUUCCGGCCUCGGCCGGCAAACGGAACUGCCCCCGCAACUGUAGGCGGCGAGUGCCUCUCGACAAGCCACUGGGACCAUCCCGGGAAGGCGAGAGCUGCGACGACCCGUCAGUCAGGAGACCUGCCGACGAAAUUGAAACCAC